Long non-coding RNA from Octopus sinensis (East Asian common octopus), 289 nucleotides. RefSeq lists it as uncharacterized. The transcript is spliced from 3 exons. The record is from RefSeq and is a predicted model, not a curated record. Lineage: Eukaryota; Metazoa; Mollusca; Cephalopoda; Octopoda; Octopodidae.
GUGUAUGUAUAGUACAUAGAAUUAUGUACAAAAGUUAGGAAUGUGAACAACGUAUGAAUCUUGAUAUACAUGUGUGCAUGCGUUUGGAGCAGGGGAUAUCAGGUUUAGUAUUGGCGAAUUUCAGGAAGCCUGGAGGUUUUAAAAGAUGCAAUGUCUCGGCAACUAACAACUGAUGCGGGUAGUUUGUCCAUGCUUCAGCAACUCUGAGUGUGAAAAAUGUUAACGAAACUCAUGGGAGCUGUACUGUUUUCUGACGUCGUAGGCAUGACCACAGGUAGAGUUGGAAAAA